Molecule: long non-coding RNA, 611 nt
Filed under: Lactuca sativa (garden lettuce)
Lineage: Eukaryota; Viridiplantae; Streptophyta; Magnoliopsida; Asterales; Asteraceae
Description: long non-coding RNA (LSAT_LNC009812)
Source: RNAcentral
AAAUGCAAGAAUUCCAAAUUCAUGCCAUUUACCAAAAUUUGUUAGAUUUUAAACUUAUAUGCAUUGAUCCUCUUGUAAUGAUUAUGCACAAAGUCACAAAGACUUGACAACAAACAUUACAGAGCAUUCCAAUGGAGAUCAACUCCAUGGAAGCAUCCUUCUUUCAUUAAGUUUCCUAAUCUUACACAUAUUUAUUGAAUAACNUGCCAUUUACUGAAAUCUGUUAGAUUCUAAACUUAUAUGCAUUGAUCUUCUUGUACUGAUUAUGCACUAAGUUGGAAAGACUUGACAACAAUCAUUACAGAGCAUUCCAAAGGAGAUCAGCUCCUUGGGAACAUCCUUCUUGCAUUAAGUUUCCUAAUCUUACAUAGAUUAAAAAAUUUCUAACUUUGAAACAUUUCCAGAUUCCAUUUUGACUAUCACUUCUGAACAAGAGUUGUUUCCUUACAGAUUAUGUCAAUAUCGUCCUUCCAGAAUUAUCACUAUACUUCCAACUGUCCUUGAGCAACCAAUCUUUGGUAAACCUUAGAUUGUUCUCGACAAUUGAUUAAUCAUUUUAGUAAUAUCCAGUUCUAGACUUUUCCCUUCUUAAUUCCCUGAGCAUUUGGAAG